UUGAUGAAUAAUAGGGAAAGACUGGGUGACUUUCUGGUGAUUUUUCACGUUUUUGAUGUUUGGGAGAUCCGGGAAUAUUGGGAAGAGGGAUAAAUCUUGUUAACUCAGACGUUUGCUAACUAGAUGCUGCUAAGCUGUUGCAGAAUAUUGAUGAACUUGGAAAUGAAGUCAGAAGGCUCGACUGGUUUAUGAUACCUUGAUAGAGGAAAAGUCAGGCAGAAAUGAGCUCUACAUCUUCCACUCUACAGCUUGUCAGAUCCAGAUCGCAGUAAUAUCACCCAUAAAUCCUCUUAAGCCAAUGCAAGCAGAUGAGGACUGAUGCUAAGACCCAUUCCUUCAGGUGGCAGAACAACAAAGAAAGGCACUCAAAGGUCACUGCAAAUGGAAAUCCAGGAAGAACAACAAGGAACAGUUGAAGCUCAGAAUGGAUAAUCAUAUAGACAGAGUGGAAAAUGCUGAUGAAAUGCAAACAUAAGUCAUAGGCACACCCCUAAGUACAGUCCAAAAUGCAAGCAGUUGUGUUUUUCCACCUCAACAAGCCUAUUCUAGCAUUUUUAUUUCCAUCAAAAGUAGGUAUUUUGUUGGUCUUUAUUGUACAUUUAAGACCAAGGCCUGAAAAUAUUUACAUAUGCUUAGUAACAAAUUGCAUGCAAUAUUUUGUGACUAAAAAAAAUCUGUCCCAUAUCACUACUUGUGUUACUUGAUUGUGGUGCUACAUGAUGUCCUCCUCUUCCUCCUCUUCUCCUUCUUCCUGAAAUGCCUACAACUCCAAACCUGAACUUUGGCUCCACUAUGCAAAUAGUCAGGAAUAGACAUCAACACAACAUAGUAUUACAUAUGUGUAUGUCCUUUUAAGAGAACCACCAUGGUGUUGAGGUUUGAAUGUUAAACUAGGACUCCAAGAGGUAAAGAGUUCACAGCCAUGAAAACUACUUGGUGUCACUGGGCAGUUCAAAUACUCACAGCCUCAGUGAAAGGAAAUGGCAAACCUCUCUGAAAAAAUUUGGGCAAGAAAAAGAAAACAUGAUAUAUUUGCCUUUGACCUGCUAUAAAUUAGAAGUAACUUGAAGGCACACAACAAAAAUGUUUUUUUUUCAAACAAUUGCACAAGAAGGGUUGUUGUAUGUCUUUCGAGCUGUGUGGCCAUGUUCCAGAAGUAUUCUCUCCUGACGUUUCGCCCACAUCUAUGGGAGGCAUCCUCCGAGGUUGUGAGACACGGAUAAACUAGGCAAGGAAGGUAAAUAUAUAUCUGUGGAGAGUCCAGAGUGUGACAAGAGUCCUUUGUCAGUGGAAGCCAGCAUUAAUGUUGCAAUUAAUCACCCUAAUUAGCAUUGGAAAGGUUUGUCUCUUGCCUGGGGGGCAUCCUUUGUUCAGAGUCAUUAGCUGUGCUUGGGGCUCCUCUGCCCUCAGAGUGUUGCUUCCCAUCUACUGUUCUGAUUUUUGAGUUUUUUAAUACUGGCAGCCAGAUUUUGUUCAUUUUCAUGGUUUCCUCCUUUCUGUUGAAGUUGUCCACAUGCUUGUGGAUUUCAAUGGCUUCUCUGUGUAGUCUGACAUGAUAGUUGUUGGAGUGGUCAAGCAUUUCUGUGUUCUCAAAUAAUAUACUGUGUCCAGGUUGGUUCAUCAAGUGCUCUGCUAUGGCUGAUUUCUCUAGAUGAGUGAGUCUGCAGUGCCUUUCAUGUUUGGGUGCUACGUUUGGUGGUCCCUAUGUAGACUUGUCCACAGCUGCAUGGUAUCCGGUAGACUCCUGCAGAGGAGAGAGGAUCCCUCUUGUCUUUCGCUGACCAUAGCAUUUGUUGGAUUUUCUUUGUGGGUCUGUAGAUAGUUUGUAGGUUGUGCUUCUUCAUCAGUUUGCCUAUGCUUCCUUGGCAACUGAGUGACCUAGCCAUAAGGGAAGUCAUAUCAUCACUGAAGGAGGGUACAAGGUGCCUGGACAGUCUAUGGGAGAAGCCAGGAGCAAAAAGAAACCAUCUAUUUUCCCAAUUGCUUGCCUUCUUACUGAAGAUCUGGAAGGGAGGGAAGCAGCUGUUGUCUGUUCCCAGCUACAGAUGUACAGCCAAUUACUGCCCAGGUACAUUUCCUUUGCAGGUACCCACCUAUUAAACCAUCAAUAGAGCCCAUGGAUGCCCUUAGUAACUGACAUGCGACCUCAUCAGAAAGGGCUUAAUUUGGCAGCAUAUGCCAGUUUAGCCGAGGUCAUCCAUGGAGCCCACCAGCUCCCAUCAAACAAUGCUGAUGGGCUCCAUGGGUGUAGGGUGGAACUGGCACAUGCUGCUCCCAUGACAACACAAGAGGCUUCUUGUGUUGCCAUUAAAAGCAAUGGGGGAAGCCCCACGGUCUACGAGACCCCCUUGAGAUCAACUUUCACAAGAGCCGGGCAAUGCGGGGCGAUUCUGAUGACGUGGAGGGAUCCCGGUGGCUGUGUGACAAGGUUGCAGAGCUCAUGAAGAUAGCCAUAACCAUGUCAGAACUGUCCUAAUGAUUUAUGGCUAAAACUUUACAAUGGGCCCAGAAAUGUACAGCUGCUGAUAGUUUGCAGUAUGACCGCUGUGCACCCAACACUUGGGAGGUUGAGUUGUGCAUCAGUUGAUGCCUCUGAACUGUCUACAAAGGGAGGCACAUAGAGAGAGCAUUACAGCAGUGUUGUCAGGAUGUCAUGAGUAUUGUACAUGGUUAAUCAAAGUACAAUAUGUCCUUUUCAAAUAGGUCCUGUGUUUGCUUGGUUAGUAAACAGUCAUGUCACAGUGGCUUAUUAGUUUAUUUAAAGUAGUCUGUCAAAUCUUUUUAUGAGACUUGUUUAGCUUGUAUUAAUAUUUCAAAAAUUGUAUUUUGUGUGGCUAUUCCCAAACUUGUUUCAACUUCCAUAUAUCUUACAAACAACCUGAAAUAGAAGCAAAGGUGUAUCAUAAUACCAUAUUUCUUUGAUUCUGAGACACCAUGGAUUGUGAAAAAAACAUGUUUCAAAUGUGAUUCUAAGAUGCAUCCUGUUUUUAGAGAUAUUUAUAAUGGGGGGAGGGAAGGGUGCAUCAUAGAAUAGAAGAAAUACGGUAUUUUUAAGAGCUCUGAAUAUAGAUUAAAGAUUGUCUGUAAUCUUUCAUAAGCAGUUUAAGUCCUUUUUGACAAAUUAAAAAGGCAUUUCUAGUUAAUCAAGAAAAUGUGUUUUUAAUGUAAGUUUAUAUGAAAAUUGUAGAGGGCUAACCCUAACUUUGGAGGCAUUCUACCACUCUCACCUAGUGAGAGAUUUACCGUAUCUAAAGACAUGGGAAUUAUUGUCUUCUUCUUCAAGUCUAUUUAGUAAUGAGAAGUUUAAAACAUUUAAUGGACAAAUGUGAUUGAGUAAGAUUUAUUAAACAGAGUAGUAAGUCUAAUAUGUAUUCUGUAUGUUAGUAGAGCUGUUCUGUAGGAUGAUUUCAAUUUUCUUAGACAUCUGGACAGCAGUGCCACUAUCUUCUUCUGGCCAAUUCCAUCAUGUAUAAGUGCACAUGCUUCUGCCACUUUCUUGGCCUUUAUGGAAAAUAUUUUUGCUAAGCUGUGGAACUGAUUAUUGGUGUAAUUGAAACAUAGUUAUUGGGGUUCUGACCUUAUAAUAAAUGUAUUUUCCUCAGGAAACUUACUUGUUUUUGUGGGUUUGCAAGCCAACUCUUACCCUAUUAUAGUGUUUGGGACUGUGGGUUUGUUUUUUAUUUGUUUGUGUUUUUUACAAGGUUUAUUCUGAGUAGGUUUGCCCUUGCCUUAGGCUGAGAGCUUUGAAUGCAGUUUUCCUGCUUCUUGGUAGUGGGUUGGACUGGAUGGUCCAUGAGGUCUCUUCCAACUCUAUGAUUCUAUGAGCAUACCAAUAUAAAACUGUGUACUUAUUUAGAGGGUAUAUGGUCCAGCUUAUUGGAAACAAGACCUUUGGUUAGUGCAGGAUUAGAUAGAUGGUAGAUACAUCCAAUGAAGGGAGAUCUAUAAUGCCAUAUUUUAUAUUUAUACAUAAAAAAGCCAGGUGGAAUAAAAAAUGUCCAACAGCAAAAGAAAUCCCAUGCAUCUUCCAAAAAAAAGUUGAUGUUAAAAAUAGCCAUAAAAUCUAUUUAAAGGUUGAAUUUCUACAUCUGGGGGCAUUCAGGAAAGUCAAUUCACUGACAUGUCCUCCAAGAAAAGUUGGUGCAGGGAGCACUCUGCACUACAGUUGCCAGGAUUUCUUGUAAUUUGGAACAAAUCUCUGGGU
This is a long non-coding RNA of Anolis carolinensis (green anole), 4204 nucleotides long. RefSeq lists it as uncharacterized. The transcript has 3 exons. The record is from RefSeq and is a predicted model, not a curated record. NCBI's taxonomy places the organism in Eukaryota, Metazoa, Chordata, Lepidosauria, Squamata, Anolidae.